GCUUGUCUCAAAGAUUAAGCCAUGCAUGUCUAAGUAUAAACAACUUUAUACUGUAAAACUGCGAACGGCUCAUUAUAUCAGCAAUAAUUUAUUUGAUGGUUUCUUACCCCAUGGAUAACUGUGGUAAUUCUAGAGCUAAUACAUGCGAAAAAUCCCGGCGCAAGUCGGGAUGUAUUUAUUAGAUAAAGAAUCAAUAGCCACCCCGUGGUUUUUAUUGAUGAAUCAUAAUAACUGUUCGAAUCGCACGGGGUAACCUGGCGAUAGUUCAUUCAAAUUUCUGCCCUAUCAGCUUUCGACGGUAGUGUAGUGGACUACCGUGGCGUUAACGGGUAACGGAGAAUUAGGGUUCGAUUCCGGAGAGGGAGCCUGAGAAACGGCUACCACAUCCAAGGAAGGCAGCAGG
Molecule: ribosomal RNA, 403 nt
Filed under: uncultured eukaryote
Lineage: Eukaryota
Description: partial small subunit ribosomal RNA
Rfam family: Eukaryotic small subunit ribosomal RNA
Source: RNAcentral